AGAUUGAACGCUGGCGGCGUGCCUAACACAUGCAAGUCGAGCGGUAACAGGUGUAGCAAUACAUGCUGACGAGCGGCGAACGGGUGAGUAAUGCUUUGGAAUCUUCCCAGUAGUGGGGAAUAACCAGUCGAAAGAUUGGCUAAUACCGCAUACGUCUGUAAAGGGAAAGCGGGGGCUCGUAAGACCUCGCGCUAUUGGAUGAGCCAAAGUCGGAUUAGCUAGUUGGUGGGGUAAUGGCCUACCAAGGCGACAAUCCGUAGCUGGUCUGAGAGGACGACCAGCCACACCGGAACUGAGACACGGUCCGGACUCCUACGGGAGGCAGCAGUGGGGAAUAUUGGACAAUGGGGGAAACCCUGAUCCAGCGACGCCGCGUGUGUGAAGAGGCCUGCGGGUUGUAAAGCACUUUUAGUGGGGACAAAAGCUACGGAUUAAUACUCUGUGGUCUUGAUUUAACCCAAAGAAAAGCACCGGCUAACUCUGUGCCAGCAGCCGC
This 496-nucleotide ribosomal RNA is filed under the name uncultured bacterium. Its description in RNAcentral is "SSU rRNA". It matches the Rfam family "Bacterial small subunit ribosomal RNA", at positions 26 to 518 of the family's 1533-position model. The record is from RNAcentral.